Molecule: ribosomal RNA, 1076 nt
Filed under: Bos taurus (domestic cattle)
Lineage: Eukaryota; Metazoa; Chordata; Mammalia; Artiodactyla; Bovidae
Description: partial large subunit ribosomal RNA
Rfam family: Bacterial large subunit ribosomal RNA
Source: RNAcentral
UAACUCAUCUAUGUGGCAAAAUAGUGAGAAGAUUUGUAAGUAGAGGUGACAUGCCUAACGAGCCUGGUGAUAGCUGGUUGUCCAGAAAAUGAAUCUAAGUUCAGCUUUAAAGAUACCAAAAAUUCAAAUAAACCCCACUGUAGCUUUAAAAGUUAGUCUAAAAAGGUACAGCCUUUUAGAAACGGAUACAACCUUGACUAGAGAGUAAAAUUUAACACUACCAUAGUAGGCCUAAAAGCAGCCAUCAAUUAAGAAAGCGUUAAAGCUCAACAACAAAAAUUAAAUAGAUUCCAACAACAAAUGAUUAACUCCUAGCCCCCAAUACUGGACUAAUCUAUUAUAGAAUAGAAGCAAUAAUGUUAAUAUGAGUAACAAGAAAAAUUUUCUCCUUGCAUAAGUCUAAGUCAGUGCCUGAUAAUACUCUGACCACUAACAGUCAAUAAAAAUAAUCCAACAAUAAACAAUUUAUUGAUUAUACUGUUAACCCAACACAGGAGUGCAUCUAAGGAAAGAUUAAAAGAAGUAAAAGGAACUCGGCAAACACAAACCCCGCCUGUUUACCAAAAACAUCACCUCCAGCAUUCCCAGUAUUGGAGGCAUUGCCUGCCCAGUGACAACUGUUUAACGGCCGCGGUAUCCUGACCGUGCAAAGGUAGCAUAAUCAUUUGUUCUCUAAAUAAGGACUUGUAUGAAUGGCCGCACGAGGGUUUUACUGUCUCUUACUUCCAAUCAGUGAAAUUGACCUUCCCGUGAAGAGGCGGGAAUGCACAAAUUAGACGAGAAGACCCUAUGGAGCUUUAACUAACCAACCCAAAGAGAAUAGAUUUAACCAUUAAGGAAUAACAACAAUCUCCAUGAGUUGGUAGUUUCGGUUGGGGUGACCUCGGAGAAUAAAAAAUCCUCCGAGCGAUUUUAAAGACUAGACCCACAAGUCAAAUCACUCUAUCGCUCAUUGAUCCAAAAACUUGAUCAACGGAACAAGUUACCCUAGGGAUAACAGCGCAAUCCUAUUCAGAGUCCAUAUCGACAAUAGGGUUUACGACCUCGAUGUUGGAUCAGGACAUCCUGAUGGUGCA